UUGAAUUUUAAUGAAGAGUUUGGUUGUAGCUGGCCCAUUCAUUUCGGGCAUGUGCACACCUUCCUCUUUCAUCCCACACACACCUGUGAACCUGUGAGACAGAGAUGGGGAAUUUACUUGCUGCUUUUUGGAAUACAAAGGCAAUAGGUUAUUGGACCCCCCCUCUGUCUACUCAAUUAAUAUAAACUCAAUUUAUUUUAAAACGAAUGUAAUGGAUGUAACACAUCUCAUAC
Molecule: unclassified non-coding RNA, 233 nt
Filed under: soil metagenome
Description: partial internal transcribed spacer 1
Source: RNAcentral